Molecule: non-coding RNA, 98 nt
Organism: Acanthosepion pharaonis
Lineage: Eukaryota; Metazoa; Mollusca; Cephalopoda; Sepiida; Sepiidae
Source: the annotation of a GenBank genome assembly
GUUGAAACACCGGUUCCCGUAUGAUCGCUGAAGUUAAGCAACGUCUAGCUUGGUCAGUACCUAAAUGGGUGACUCCUUGAGUAUACUAGGUGCUGUAA